Molecule: long non-coding RNA, 1152 nt
Organism: Dreissena polymorpha
Lineage: Eukaryota; Metazoa; Mollusca; Bivalvia; Myida; Dreissenidae
Exons: 5
Source: RefSeq, a predicted model, not a curated record
UGCUUCCUGAUGCAGUGCCAACUCUGUUCCCUGACACGGUCAACUUCAAGGCAUUACAGCCGAAAGCCCUGAAGCCUGACGAGUUAGGACCACCCAAACGGAAACGGGACACAUACGGUGCUUUUACAAAGCGCAAUCGUAAAACGGUAGAUAAGGUUCUGAACUUGGCAGAAAGUUAUUUGUCUGCAGAAUCACAACUUGGAGAGGCACCUGCAGGCCUUUCAAAACCUGAUAUGGCAACAUCCAAUUCAAAGGCUACUCAGACUACAGAGUCGGUUGUGUUUCGACCAACAGGGCAUAAGAGUUUUAACAUCAACAUUCAACCUCAGCGGAGAAACAAAGCGAUAAUGGGGACUUUGACUGUAAAGAAGAGGAUCCUGAUUGGGAGCCUGAUCAUGACUCUGAGGAGAAAUUGAUGUCAGAUGAUGAGGAAGAAGAGGAGGUUUGGGUCAACAAUCCUGAACCAUCUGACAGACCAAACAUUGUGUACGAGAGCUGUCUUCUGCCAUUCCUUCUAGUGUGCACUGUUUGCGGAAGUAAGUGCACUAUUACUCGCAAGUCGGUGCGUGGCGGCCAGCUCAAGAUUAAUACUUUGUGUGCAACCGGCCAUACUAAGGACUGAGAAAGUGCUCCAACUGUCAGCGGCACACCAAUGAUAAACUUGCUUGCUGCUGGGUCUAUUUUGUUAGUGGUGUUUUGAUAAGAUAAUUUUUGAACUGCUUAGACUUUCUUAAAGUUCCCUGUAUUUCAUAUAGAACGUUUACACGAAUUCAAUCGUCCUAUAUUCUACCAGCAGUUGAUAAUGUUUGGAAAAGAUCUCAGCAAAAAAUCUUCAAGAUGUGUGAGGGACGUUCGCUGAGGCUAGGAGGUGAUGCCCGCUUUUUUUCCCCCAGGUCAUUCAGGCAAGUACUGAUCGUACACAUUGAUGGACAUUAAGACUGGACACGUCCUUGAAAUACAGCAUGUUCAGAUUAAUGAAGUGAAGAACAGUAAUGCCAUGGAGCUGGAGGGCCUCAAGAGGACAUCCUCAAACCUGUUUGCAAACGAGCUACAGAUAUCAGACCUGGUUACUGACCGGCAUGUCCAAGUUAGAAAGGUCAUGAGAGAAGAGAUGGGCCAGAUUCGCCAUUGGUUUGAUGCCUGGCACAUGGC